This 397-nucleotide ribosomal RNA is filed under the name uncultured bacterium. RNAcentral's name for it is "partial 16S ribosomal RNA". It matches the Rfam family "Bacterial small subunit ribosomal RNA", at positions 523 to 918 of the family's 1533-position model. The record is from RNAcentral.
AUACGUAGGUGACAAGCGUUAUCCGGAUUUACUGGGCGUAAAGGGCGUGUAGGCGGUCUUGCAAGUCAGAAGUGAAAUUCCUGAGCUCAACUCGGGCGCUGCUUCUGAAACUGCAGGACUUGAGUGCUGGAGGGGAUAGCGGAAUUCCUCGUGGAGCGGUAAAAUGCGCAGAUAUUAGGAAGAACACCGGUGGCGAAGGCGGAUAGCUGGACAGAAACGGACGCUGAGGCGAAAAAGGGUGGGGAGAAAACAGGAGUAGAUCCCCUGGUAGUCCACGCCAUAAACGAUGAAUACUAGGUGUAGGGGGUAUCGACCCCCUCUGUGCCGACGUUAACACAUUAAGUAUUCCACCUGGGGAGUACGGCCGCAAGGCUGAAACUCAAAGGAAUUGACGGGG